RNAcentral lists this ribosomal RNA (386 nucleotides) under Eschrichtius robustus (grey whale). Its description in RNAcentral is "partial 12S ribosomal RNA". It matches the Rfam family "Bacterial small subunit ribosomal RNA", at positions 800 to 1374 of the family's 1533-position model. Lineage: Eukaryota; Metazoa; Chordata; Mammalia; Artiodactyla; Eschrichtiidae. The record is from RNAcentral.
CCGUAAACCCUAAUAGUCACAAAACAAGACUAUUCGCCAGAGUACUACUAGCAACAGCUUAAAACUCAAAGGACUUGGCGGUGCUUCAUACCCCUCUAGAGGAGCCUGUUCUGUAACCGAUAAACCCCGAUCAACCUCACCAACCCUUGCUACUUCAGUCUAUAUACCGCCAUCUUCAGCAAACCCUAAAAGGGAACGAAAGUAAGCAUAACCAUCCUACAUAAAAACGUUAGGUCAAGGUGUAACCUAUGGGUUGGGAAGAAAUGGGCUACAUUUUCUAAGCUAAGAAUAUCCCCUAUAUCCACACGAAAGUUUUUAUGAAACUUAAAAACUAAAGGAGGAUUUAGUAGUAAAUCAAGAGCAGAGUGCUUGAUUGAAUAAGGCCA